This 113-nucleotide ribosomal RNA is filed under the name Paramormyrops kingsleyae. The record is from RNAcentral. Lineage: Eukaryota; Metazoa; Chordata; Actinopteri; Osteoglossiformes; Mormyridae.
AUCAGCAGUCACACCACCAGCAGUUCAGACUAGGUAACCCAUCUGAAGAUAAGCAGGUUUGGGCCUGACCAGCACUUGGGAGACCAAAUAGGAAAGCUGGGUUGCUGCUGGAA